This 25-nucleotide microRNA is filed under the name Oikopleura dioica. Its description in RNAcentral is "odi-miR-1490a". The record is from miRBase by way of RNAcentral. Lineage: Eukaryota; Metazoa; Chordata; Appendicularia; Copelata; Oikopleuridae.
AGGCAGUGAGUUGAUAGCGCCCUGA